Molecule: ribosomal RNA, 497 nt
Filed under: uncultured bacterium
Lineage: Bacteria
Description: partial 16S ribosomal RNA
Rfam family: Bacterial small subunit ribosomal RNA
Source: RNAcentral
GAUGAACGCUGGCGGCGUGCCUAAUACAUGCAAGUCGAGCGAACGGACGAGAAGCUUGCUUCUCUGAUGUUAGCGGCGGACGGGUGAGUAACACGUGGAUAACCUACCUAUAAGACUGGGAUAACUUCGGGAAACCGGAGCUAAUACCGGAUAAUAUUUUGCACCGCAUGGUUCAAAAGUGAAAGACGGUCUUGCUGUCACUUAUAGAUGGAUCCGCGCUGCAUUAGCUAGUUGGUAAGGUAACGGCUUACCAAGGCAACGAUGCAUAGCCGACCUGAGAGGGUGAUCGGACACACGGGAACUGAGACACGGUACAGACUCCUACGGGAGGCAGCAGUAGGGAAUCUUCCGCAAUGGGCGAAAGCCUGACGGAGCAACGCCGCGUGAGUGAUGAAGGUCUUCGGAUCGUAAAACUCUGUUAUUAGGGAAGAACAUAUGUGUAAGUACCUGUGCACAUCUUGACGGUACCUAAUCAGAAAGCCACGGCUAACUACGUG